Molecule: ribosomal RNA, 254 nt
Filed under: uncultured bacterium
Lineage: Bacteria
Description: partial 16S ribosomal RNA
Rfam family: Bacterial small subunit ribosomal RNA
Source: RNAcentral
GACAGAGGGUGCAAACGUUGUUCGGAAUUACUGGGCGUAAAGCGAGUGUAGGCGGUCUCCUAAGUCGGGUGUGAAAGCCCCGGGCUCAACCCGGGAAGUGCACUCGAAACUGGGAGGCUAGAGUAUCGGAGAGGUUGGUGGAAUUCUCGGUGUAGAGGUGAAAUUCGUAGAUAUCGAGAGGAACACCGGUGGCGAAGGCGGCCAACUGGACGAAUACUGACACUGAGGAGCGAAAGCCAGGGGAGCAAACGGGG